UUUUUUUCUUCGAGAGGAACCGAACAGACCUCUUAGUCUCCUCUCCUUCCUAUCUUCGAUUCUUCUUCAAUUAGGUUUAAUUAAUCCGGAAUUUUCUAUAACAUCUUUAUCGAUUUGCAGAGAAAGAUUUAGUUUCAGAAAAUGGUGAAGUGAAGAAUAUACCUUGAACGAGAUUUAGUUGCAGUUGACUUGAUUGAUAAACAAGUGAGAUGCGGCAGAAAUCUUGCAGGAAAUUCCAGACAUAUCUAUCAUGGAUUGAAUAAACUAGUACUCGAAUCCAAGGUCUCUUUUUCAGUUUUUGGCAUCAGAGAUUCAUAUGGCUUUGCACCAGACUUGUUGCAUUUGAAUUAGUACUCUUUUGUGUUAACUGUUAACUAUCUUAUGUCCUUUGUUGCUUUUGAAUUACUGAAUUAGUACUCUUUUGUGUUAAAAAUCAUAAGCCGAAGGAACCAAUGUCACAAACAGCAGUUUGUAACUUUUGAAUUAGGAACCAAUGUAACUGUUAACUAUCUUAUGUCUGUACUCUAGUUUGUAA
This is a long non-coding RNA of Papaver somniferum (opium poppy), 535 nucleotides long. RefSeq lists it as uncharacterized. The record is from RefSeq and is a predicted model, not a curated record. The transcript is spliced from 3 exons. Lineage: Eukaryota; Viridiplantae; Streptophyta; Magnoliopsida; Ranunculales; Papaveraceae.